Molecule: long non-coding RNA, 589 nt
Filed under: Bos taurus (domestic cattle)
Lineage: Eukaryota; Metazoa; Chordata; Mammalia; Artiodactyla; Bovidae
Description: long non-coding RNA NONBTAT018523
Source: RNAcentral
CGCUGCUGCAACUUCAGCUUUCGUCCUGUGCCUCGGCAGUGAGGAAAGGGGACAAAACUGCCACAAUUGUAUUUUAAUUUUGAGGUGUGGUAUUUUUAGAUAUGUCAUAAUUUCUAGCUUCUUUCAGUAAAUGGAAUUAUGAUCAUGCAAAUACAAUUUUAGUAUUUGUUUUUUUAUGAAUAUUUUUUUGCCAGCUGACUUAAUAACAUUGCUAUCAUGUGGAAAUUUCAAGCAUUUUUGCCCAUUUCGUUCACUGUUUGUUGAGAAUCCAUGGCUUAACUCACUUCUUUUCAUGUGUACCACACCUUUGUAAACCCUUUGAAGAUGCUGAAGAAAUGUGUCUGAGAUGUUCUCUGCAUCAGUCUGUACGUCUUUGGCUGUCGAGUGUUUCUGCAUGGUCAUGUCACCUAAAGCUGAUGCUGAUUUGUUGGCCCACUUAUAUUUAAAAUGUGCAAGGAAAAUAUGAAAUACUUUGCUGUAGCAAAUUUUAUGUAAUAAAUAUCAUGUUAAUAAAUCUAAAACAUCAUUUGUAUAAAAUAAUUUAGGUUUUUUGUAUUUCAUUUAGACCCAAGAACAUGCUGAUCAUGUA